CUACGUGCCAGCAGCCGCGGUAAUACGUAGGGCGCGAGCGUUGUCCGGAAUUAUUGGGCGUAAAGAGCUUGUAGGCGGUUUGUCGCGUCUGCUGUGAAAGGCCGGGGCUUAACUCCGUGUAUUGCAGUGGGUACGGGCAGACUAGAGUGCAGUAGGGGAGACUGGAAUUCCUGGUGUAGCGGUGGAAUGCGCAGAUAUCAGGAGGAACACCGAUGGCGAAGGCAGGUCUCUGGGCUGUAACUGACGCUGAGAAGCGAAAGCAUGGGGAGCGAACAGGAUUAGAUACCCUGGUAGUCCAUGCCGUAAACGUUGGGCACUAGGUGUGGGGGACAUUCCACGUUUUCCGCGCCGUAGCUAACGCAUUAAGUGCCCCGCCUGGGGAGUACGGCCGCAAGGCUAAAACUCAAAGAAAUUGACGGGGGCCCGCACAAGCGGCGGAGCAUGCGGAUUAAUUCGAUGCAACGCGAAGAACCUUACCAAGGCU
This 484-nucleotide ribosomal RNA is filed under the name uncultured bacterium. Its description in RNAcentral is "bacterial SSU rRNA". It matches the Rfam family "Bacterial small subunit ribosomal RNA", at positions 501 to 981 of the family's 1533-position model. The record is from RNAcentral.